RNAcentral lists this ribosomal RNA (492 nucleotides) under uncultured bacterium. RNAcentral describes it as "partial 16S ribosomal RNA". It matches the Rfam family "Bacterial small subunit ribosomal RNA", at positions 29 to 507 of the family's 1533-position model. The record is from RNAcentral.
AGUGAACGCUGGCGGUAGGCCUAACACAUGCAAGUCGAACGGCAGCACAGUAAGAGCUUGCUCUUACGGGUGGCGAGUGGCGGACGGGUGAGGAAUACAUCGGAAUCUACUUUUUCGUGGGGGAUAACGUAGGGAAACUUACGCUAAUACCGCAUACGACCUACGGGUGAAAGCAGGGGAUCUUCGGACCUUGCGCGAUUGAAUGAGCCGAUGUCGGAUUAGCUAGUUGGCGGGGUAAAGGCCCACCAAGGCGACGAUCCGUAGCUGGUCUGAGAGGGUGAUCAGCCACACUGGGACUGAGACACGGUCCAGACUCCUACGGGAGGCAGCAGUGGGGAAUAUUGGACAAUGGGCGCAAGCCUGAUCCAGCCAUACCGCGUGGGUGAAGAAGGCCUUCGGGUUGUAAAGCCCUUUUGUUGGGAAAGAAAAGCAGCAGGUUAAUACCCCGCUGUUCUGACGGUACCCAAAGAAUAAGCACCGGCUAACUUCGUG